CUUGGUUGAAACGCAGGCUGGUCACCCCUCGAAGUGGUUGCUGAGUCAUGAUUCAGGAUUGCUUCCCUGGAUACAAAUGGGGAUAGGCUGGGCCUACUUGAUUU
This is a long non-coding RNA of Myotis brandtii (Brandt's bat), 104 nucleotides long. RefSeq lists it as uncharacterized. NCBI's taxonomy places the organism in Eukaryota, Metazoa, Chordata, Mammalia, Chiroptera, Vespertilionidae. The transcript is spliced from 3 exons. The record is from RefSeq and is a predicted model, not a curated record.